RNAcentral lists this small nuclear RNA (173 nucleotides) under Castor canadensis (American beaver). RNAcentral's name for it is "U2 spliceosomal RNA (ENSCCNG00000024791.1)". It matches the Rfam family "U2 spliceosomal RNA". Rfam says of the family: U2 is a small nuclear RNA (snRNA) component of the spliceosome (involved in pre-mRNA splicing). Complementary binding between U2 snRNA (in an area lying towards the 5' end but 3' to hairpin I) and the branchpoint sequence (BPS) of the intron results the bulging out of an unpaired adenosine, on the BPS, which initiates a nucleophilic attack at the intronic 5' splice site, thus starting the first of two transesterification reactions that mediate splicing. The record is from Rfam by way of RNAcentral. Lineage: Eukaryota; Metazoa; Chordata; Mammalia; Rodentia; Castoridae.
AUUGCUUCUUGGACCUUUGGCUAAGAUCAAGUUUAUCUGUUCUUAUCAGUUUAAUACUUGAUACGUCCCCAAUAUAUCAAAUGGAUUUUUGGAGCAAGGAAGCAGAAUAGGAGUUUGCUCUGUCCAUGCCACCCAUUGGCCUGGCUUUGCAGUCCAGGAAUGGUCCACAUCCC